GGGGCUUAGAGAGCACACGUGGAAAGGCCUCGACCUUUGGGUUCCUAUGGCUCGAAAGCGCUUGGCUGCUGCCCGGGACCCGAGAAUGAAAACAGAAAAUUGCUUCCCAGUCCAGAAUCUCCAAAUCCCCCAAGACCAUCAGAUUCACUUGGUUAGAAAUCCAGACUUCAGUUUCCCACUCCUGGCCCACUAAGUCGAAGUCUCUGCGGUGAGGACCCAGAAUCUCCAUUUAACCAGGUUCUCUUUCCCAUCUGCAAGGCAUAUGGCAAUGGCAGACAUCCUGUGAUGCCUGAGGUUCAGCCAGGAGCAGCGUCUUCCACUCCUUCCUUGUUUGCAGAAUUAGAGCUUGGACCCCUGAGGACUGCGGAGGAAGAACUCAACAGACUUCGCCCAGCCCCCAGACCAUGCUUACAGCAUGUGAAAGUUUCUG
Molecule: long non-coding RNA, 430 nt
Organism: Phacochoerus africanus (Common warthog)
Lineage: Eukaryota; Metazoa; Chordata; Mammalia; Artiodactyla; Suidae
Exons: 4
Source: RefSeq, a predicted model, not a curated record